AGGACCUAAGUGCUGAUGGUGUGAGAAGCUGCCUGGGAUUCAGCCAGCAUCUUCUCAUGCACCCUGUGCUUAAUGACGUCAGUGGUGGGUGGCAGGGCCAUGGAAUAUUUGGUUUCAUUUGAGUCAUGGGACAAAGUUGGCCAGAGAGCCGGCUCUGGUGGCCCGUCCUUACUAGCACCUUCUCUUCCACAGGAACAGGGGCUGAAGGCCAAUAACUCCAAAGAGUUAAGCAUGUGCUUCACAGAGCUCACGACCAAUAUCAUCCCAGGGAGUAACAAGGUGAUCAAACCUAACUCAGGCCCCCGCAGAGCCACACCGUCGGCUGCCUUGACCGCUGUCUCCUUCCUGAUGCUGAAGCUGGCCUUGUAGGCUCUGGGAACCAUGUCGGGAGAUUUCUGGAAACUACACAGAUGAGAACACCCGCCUGGCAAAAUGGAAACACACACAGACACACACACACCUUGCAAAAAAAUUUUUGUCCCCCACCUUGUCUCUGAACCUGUCUCCUCCCAGGUUUCUUCUCUGGAGAAGUUUUUCUAAACCAAACAGACAAGCAGGCGGGCAGCCAGAGAGCUGGCCCAGAGGUCCCUCGGCAAGGGAAACCCAGUGCUGAGGAAGAGUGCGAGGGUCUAGAAAUGCCCUUCAUUUUCUGCUGGUGUUUUCCUCUCUGCAUCCUGCUGACAUAAGAGACCAAGAUGACACCCCUGUGGCCCAAGGGACUUGAGGCUGUGCUGAUGUGAACUGGGGGCAGGGUGGCGGCUCCUCUCCAGCCACCCACUCCAGGGACCUGCGGGGGACCUGGCAGAGGGCGUCGGGCAGCGGGCGGUGAGGCUGGCUGCUGGGGGUCCAGCCGGGUACCUCGGCACCCCCACUUGGCUUUGAGGAUGGAGUUUAUUUCACCCUCUCUGUCUGGGUUGAGUGGGUCUGCGUCUGACCUGGGAACCCCCAGUGAUGCCUGUGGAGGGUGUGGCGCCGGGCUCCCCGACUGUGGCUGGAGGCAGGGCUGGGGCCAGCUCCAGGGGGCUUGGGGGCUCAGCCCUCCUGGGACAUCCCCUUGGGCUGAGGGAGCAAACCUUGGGCACCAGCUCAAGGCUGAUGCUUCCUCCUCCGUGGUAGGAAUUUUGAAAUCAAAGAGAAAUGAUCCUUUGUUGGCUCUUUUGGUUUCUUGUGGGUCCAUUUGGUGGGUCUCCCCCCUCCCCCGCCCCAGGGAAAGGGGUCCCCGAGGGGGCAGAGAAGAGCCUGGUGGGACUCCUGCCGGCGCCGUGCUCUGGGGGCCAUGGCUCCCUUUUCCUCUUUUCCACAUUCUCUUCUCAUUUCCCAGACGAACGCCAACCGUAUGUACGUAACGUGACUCUUUUCUCAACAUAUAUGUAUAUACACAUCCGUAUACAUAUAUCGUGUGGUUUCCCCUUUUUUCCUUUUUUUAAGAAGCAAAACUAUGGAAAUAAUACCCCCACAGAUGAGCGAAAAUGUAUUAUUGUAAAGUUUAUUUUUUUUAAUAAUGUUGUCUAUAAUGGGAAAAAAACGGAGAUUGCCUCCCUGUGUCUCUGCCCCCAUCGGGCUGACUGGGCUGUGGAGGGGGGUUCCUGAUCCGUAUUCAUACUUAGCCAAGGCUCCAAUAAACAUACUAGGAAGCAGUUUGC
This is a non-coding RNA of Leptonychotes weddellii (Weddell seal), 1643 nucleotides long. NCBI's taxonomy places the organism in Eukaryota, Metazoa, Chordata, Mammalia, Carnivora, Phocidae. The record is from RefSeq and is a predicted model, not a curated record.